ACGCCGGUGCCGUCCACUGUGACAUAUAAAAGUGUGUUUUAGACUACAAAGCCGCUCCGCUCCGUGCGAUCGCUGGUAGGCGGACGAUGUGGUGCGUUCUUGAAGAGAAACUGACUCGGAAUUUCCAAGUCCCCACUCAAGGAUAUGGGAGGAAACCAGACUACCCAGGGGAAACCCACGCAAGCAUGGGGAGAACACGCAAACUCCACACAGAAGGGCGGUGUGCAAAAGCAGGUGUGAGAGGUAAGCCUAAAUGAUGUCCGUGAUGGUCCCUCACACUAAAGUGCCCUGAGUGUUUGACUGACCUGGAGUACACCGGCUCUCCUCGGCAGUAUCCGAGUAUGGCGGCUGUGUCGGGAUAGAUGGCUUCAUACUUGAGCAGGUGUCUCUUUAACGCAUACAGCGGGUGGUUCUUGUACUCUGCGAUGGAGACAGGCAAGGGCUUGUUCAGCAGCUUCUUCUGCAUCUGAUUGGGCAAUAAAACAAAGCUUGAUCACACGCUGAUCCAGUUAAGUGAGACUUUUUUUUCAAACUUGACGAUGGGUCACCUCCUUCUCCUCUUUUAUGUCCUGUUCAUCUUCUGGUCUCAGGAAGGGCUGCAGCGUCUCUUCCCACCACUCCUCCUCCACCCGCCUCUUCCUGCUUGACGUCAUCCAGGUGGGGUCGUACUUGCGGCCCAGGUCCUUCACAAAGCCGUCUUCGUCCACACCCACCACGUACGUGAUUGGCCGCGUGGCAUUCUGGGAGCAGAGCUGAGGUGCGCCCACUCCGUGCUCCACAUCCACACACACCCAUGAGGAGGUUUUGUCUACAAACACCUCCACCCACUGGUCAGCUCCGACACAAUUUUUCUUUUUCGUGCUCUGUCUCUUUGCUUUGCUGCCAGCCUGUCCUUUUUCUCCAUCCUCAUGAUUCUCCUCGUCUUUUCCUAAACCGCUCGUUUUCUUCUGGACUGUAUUGUUCCUGUCAUUUUUACUUUUACCUCUUUCUU
This is a long non-coding RNA of Syngnathus typhle (broad-nosed pipefish), 991 nucleotides long. RefSeq lists it as uncharacterized. The record is from RefSeq and is a predicted model, not a curated record. NCBI's taxonomy places the organism in Eukaryota, Metazoa, Chordata, Actinopteri, Syngnathiformes, Syngnathidae. The transcript is spliced from 2 exons.